Molecule: transfer RNA, 79 nt
Filed under: Bacteroidales bacterium
Lineage: Bacteria; Pseudomonadati; Bacteroidota; Bacteroidia; Bacteroidales
Description: tRNA-OTHER
Rfam family: tRNA
About the family: Transfer RNA (tRNA) molecules are approximately 80 nucleotides in length. Their secondary structure includes four short double-helical elements and three loops (D, anti-codon, and T loops).
Source: RNAcentral
GAGAGGAUAGUUUAACGGGAAAAAUCCCGCCGAAGUUGACAGCUCGGCGGCGACGCGGGUUCGAGGCCCGCUCUUCUCA